This 72-nucleotide transfer RNA is filed under the name Planctomycetia bacterium. Its description in RNAcentral is "tRNA-Asn". It matches the Rfam family "tRNA". Rfam says of the family: Transfer RNA (tRNA) molecules are approximately 80 nucleotides in length. Lineage: Bacteria; Pseudomonadati; Planctomycetota; Planctomycetia. The record is from RNAcentral. RNAcentral also lists the same sequence under 1 other name.
UCCCUGGUAGCUCAGCGGUAGAGCAGCCGGCUGUUAACCGGCUUGUCGUAGGUUCGAAUCCUACCCGGGGAG